UUGACUCUUACAAUAUUAACAUUGUGAAGGAAAAAUCUUGGGAGAGUUACAGCGCUUCGCUAUAGUGAAAUAAAAUGCUAGUUAUUUUGAAGCGAACUAAAAAUUGUGAGAAGAACAGGAGGAUUUGAAAAGAUUUUUCAAAAGUUCGAAAGAUUACAUGAUUAAUGUAAAUUUUGGAUUUCCUCGCUGGUUAAUCUUAAUUCAUUACAACUACUGGUAGCAUGAUGAAUCAUCAGGAAUUUAUGCCAGUACUCUGUUAGAAGUUGGUGAAGUGAUUAAUUUUCAAUGAGAUUAAAGCAUAAUUUGUCUUGUGCAAAGGAGAUUAUAAUUUGCUGGCUUGUCAUUUUAAUCUUUAAUCAUAUUUUCGCAAAGGGAUUAAAAUGGUGGAUUUUUCUAGGGGAUUUUUCGGCAUGUUUUUGUAUUUUUCGAUGUUUAAAAAAAAAAAAAAAAAAAAUUUCACUUGAUUGAAAUGACAAGCUAUACGUUGUAUUUGAUUAAUUAGUUAAAAAAAUAUCUGGUUGAUCCUGC
Molecule: ribosomal RNA, 528 nt
Filed under: Meloidogyne hapla
Lineage: Eukaryota; Metazoa; Nematoda; Chromadorea; Rhabditida; Meloidogynidae
Description: 5S-18S ribosomal RNA intergenic spacer
Source: RNAcentral